Molecule: ribosomal RNA, 793 nt
Filed under: uncultured bacterium
Lineage: Bacteria
Description: bacterial SSU rRNA
Rfam family: Bacterial small subunit ribosomal RNA
Source: RNAcentral
AGAGUUUGAUCAUGGCUCAGGAUGAACGCUAGCGGCAGGCUUAAUACAUGCAAGUCGAGGGGCAGCGGGGGUAGCAAUACCUGCCGGCGACCGGCAAACGGGUGCGGAACACGUACACAACCUUCCUUUUAGUGGGGGAUAGCCCAGAGAAAUUUGGAUUAAUACCCCGUAAUAUAAAUGAGUGGCAUCACUUAUUUAUUAAAGCUCCGGCGCUAGAAGAUGGGUGUGCGUCUGAUUAGGUAGUUGGUGUGGGUAACGGCCCACCAAGCCUACGAUCAGUAACUGGUGUGAGAGCACGACCAGUCACACGGGCACUGAGACACGGGCCCGACUCCUACGGGAGGCAGCAGUAAGGAAUAUUGGUCAAUGGACGCAAGUCUGAAACCAGCCAUGCCGCGUGGAGGAUGAAGGUCCUCUGGAUUGUAAACUUCUUUUAUCUGGGAAGAAAUGCAUUUUUUCUAAAGUGUUUGACGGUACCAGAUGAAUAAGCACCGGCUAACUCCGUGCCAGCAGCCGCGGUAAUACGGAGGGUGCAAGCGUUAUCCGGAUUCACUGGGUUUAAAGGGUGCGUAGGUGGGCAGUUAAGUCAGUGGUGAAAUCUCCGGGCUCAACCCGGAAACUGCCAUUGAUACUAUCUGUCUUGAAUAUCGUGGAGGUAAGCGGAAUAUCAUGUAGCGGUGAAAUGCUUAGAUAUGACAUAGAACACCAAUUGCGAAGGCAGCUUACUACCCGAAUAUUGACACUGAGGCACGAAAGCGUGGGGAUCAAACAGGAUUAGAUACCCUAGUAGUCC